RNAcentral lists this ribosomal RNA (534 nucleotides) under uncultured bacterium. RNAcentral's name for it is "partial 16S ribosomal RNA". It matches the Rfam family "Bacterial small subunit ribosomal RNA", at positions 355 to 883 of the family's 1533-position model. The record is from RNAcentral.
UGGGGAAUUUUGGACAAUUGGGCGAAAGCCUGAUCCAGCAAUGCCGCGUGUGUGAAGAAGGCCUUCGGGUUGUAAAGCACUUUUGUCCGGAAAGAAAUCCUUGGCUCUAAUACAGUCGGGGGAUGACGGUACCGGAAGAAUAAGCACCGGCUAACUACGUGCCAGCAGCCGCGGUAAUACGUAGGGUGCAAGCGUUAAUCGGAAUUACUGGGCGUAAAGCGUGCGCAGGCGGUUUGCUAAGACCGAUGUGAAAUCCCCGGGCUCAACCUGGGAACUGCAUUGGUGACUGGCAGGCUAGAGUAUGGCAGAGGGGGGUAGAAUUCCACGUGUAGCAGUGAAAUGCGUAGAGAUGUGGAGGAAUACCGAUGGCGAAGGCAGCCCCCUGGGCAAUACUGACGCUCAUGCACGAAAGCGUGGGGAGCAAACAGGAUUAGAUACCCUGGUAGUCCACGCCCUAAANGAUGUCAACUAGUUGUUGGGGAUUCAUUUCCUAGUAACGUAGCUAACGCGUGAAGUUGACCGCCUGGGGAGUAC